RNAcentral lists this ribosomal RNA (434 nucleotides) under uncultured bacterium. Its description in RNAcentral is "partial 16S ribosomal RNA". It matches the Rfam family "Bacterial small subunit ribosomal RNA", at positions 29 to 507 of the family's 1533-position model. The record is from RNAcentral.
AGCGAACGCUGGCGGCAGGCCUAACACAUGCAAGUCGAACGAACCUUUCGGGGUUAGUGGCGGACGGGUGAGUAACACGUGGGAACGUGCCUUUAGGUUCGGAAUAACUCAGGGAAACUUGUGCUAAUACCGAAUGUGCCCUUCGGGGGAAAGAUUUAUCGCCUUUAGAGCGGCCCGCGUCUGAUUAGCUAGUUGGUUGAGGUAAUGGCUCACCAAGGCGACGAUCAGUAGCUGGUCUGAGAGGAUGAUCAGCCACAUUGGGACUGAGACACGGCCCAAACUCCUACGGGAGGCAGCAGUGGGGAAUCUUGCGCAAUGGGCGAAAGCCUGACGCAGCCAUGCCGCGUGAAUGAUGAAGGUCUUAGGAUUGUAGAAUUCUUUCACCGGGGACGAUAAUGACGGUACCCGGAGAAGAAGCCCCGGCUAACUUCGUG